Molecule: long non-coding RNA, 233 nt
Filed under: Homo sapiens (human)
Lineage: Eukaryota; Metazoa; Chordata; Mammalia; Primates; Hominidae
Description: non-protein coding lnc-SPATA31A1-7:1
Source: RNAcentral
AGGUCUAAUUAUUUUGCCAUUUCUCUCAUCCUAAAUAUAAUUGAAAUGCAAUGAGUGAGAGCCCACAGGGAUUCUCUUAGUGUCCAGAUGGGCAUUUCUGCUUUUCCUCAUGAUGGGCUGGACUAUUGAAAAUUAAUUCGUAUUUUCAGCUGUGCCAGGUUGUCAGCCAGCUCACAAGUGUAAUCCGUGGUCAAGGGAACUUUUAAGUUACAAUAUUUUCUUUAUGGUUUCUA